This 264-nucleotide ribosomal RNA is filed under the name uncultured bacterium. Its description in RNAcentral is "partial 16S ribosomal RNA". It matches the Rfam family "Bacterial small subunit ribosomal RNA", at positions 90 to 354 of the family's 1533-position model. The record is from RNAcentral.
UCUUAGUGGCGGACGGGUGAGUAACGCGUGGGUAACCUGCCCUGUACAGGGGGAUAACACUUAGAAAUAGGUGCUAAAACCGCAUAAGCGCACAGUACCGCAUGGUACAGUGUGAAAAACUCCGGUGGUACAGGAUGGACCCGCGUCUGAUUAGCUGGUUGAAGGGGUAACGGCCCACCAAGGCGACGAUCAGUAGCCGGCCUGAGAGGGCGGACGGCCACACUGGGACUGAGACACGGCCCAGACUCCUACGGAAGGCAGCAG